GCGCGGGUGGCGAAAUUGGUAGACGCGCCAGCUUGAGGGGCUGGUGACCACAAGGUCGUGGAGGUUCAACUCCUCUCCCGCGCA
RNAcentral lists this transfer RNA (84 nucleotides) under Acidimicrobiia bacterium. RNAcentral describes it as "tRNA-Leu". It matches the Rfam family "tRNA". Rfam says of the family: Transfer RNA (tRNA) molecules are approximately 80 nucleotides in length. Their secondary structure includes four short double-helical elements and three loops (D, anti-codon, and T loops). The record is from RNAcentral. Lineage: Bacteria; Bacillati; Actinomycetota; Acidimicrobiia.